Molecule: long non-coding RNA, 298 nt
Filed under: Nicotiana benthamiana
Lineage: Eukaryota; Viridiplantae; Streptophyta; Magnoliopsida; Solanales; Solanaceae
Description: long non-coding RNA (NBEN_LNC017365)
Source: RNAcentral
UUCAAGGUUCAAAGGUUUUAAUUAUGGCCCUGACAUGCUGAGGGAAGAAGUGGAACGCUAUAAGAAAUUUGCUGAGAGGUUGGAACCCUUCAUCACAAAUACUGUACACUUCAUGAAUGAUGCUUUAUCUCAGAAAAAGAAGAUUCUGGUUGAAGGUGGUCAGGCAACUAUGUUGGACAUAGAUUUUGAAUACUGUACACUUCAUGAAUGAUGCUAUAUCUCAGAAAAAGAAGAUUUUGGUUGAAGGUGGUCAGGCAACUAUGUUGGACAUAGAUUUUGGAACAUACCCUUUUGUGAC